UCUCCGUUGGUGAACAGCGGAGGGAUCAUUACCGAGUGCAAACUCAUAACCCUUUGUGAACCUAUAUCUGUUGCUUCGGCGGCUCGCUCUCGGGCGAGCCCGCCGGUAAUAUCAGUAUCUCUGUUUGAACCCGACGAUACUUCUGAGUGUUCUUAGCGAACAGUUAAAACUUUUAACAACGGAUCUCUUGGCUCUA
Molecule: unclassified non-coding RNA, 196 nt
Filed under: plant metagenome
Description: partial contains small subunit ribosomal RNA, internal transcribed spacer 1, and 5.8S ribosomal RNA
Source: RNAcentral